This 301-nucleotide ribosomal RNA is filed under the name uncultured bacterium. Its description in RNAcentral is "partial 16S ribosomal RNA". It matches the Rfam family "Bacterial small subunit ribosomal RNA", at positions 509 to 807 of the family's 1533-position model. The record is from RNAcentral.
CAGUAGCCACGGUAAUACAGAGGGUGCGAGCGUUAAUCGGAUUUACUGGGUUUAAAGGGUGCGUAGGCGGAUCUGUAAGUCAGUGGUGAAAUCUCCAGGCUUAACCUGGAAACUGCCGUUGAUACUAUAGGUCUUGAAUUUUGUGGAGGUUAGCGGAAUAUGUCAUGUAGCGGUGAAAUGCAUAGAUAUGACAUAGAACACCAAUUGCGAAGGCAGCUGGCUACACAACUAUUGACGCUGAGGCACGAAAGCGUGGGGAUCAAACAGGAUUAGAUACCCCCGUAGUCCCUGUCUCUUAUAC